UGAAAUUGUUACUAUUUAUAUCAUUGUCGAUUUACAAUGGUACUAUAUGAUGAUCUUGAACUAAUAUUAUACAAAACUUCUAGUCUACGAUGCCAUGUGCAAUAAUUUCACAAUAUAUUGUAUUUUUACAAUUUCUUAUUUUCCAUUCAUUGGAGAAAAAACGAUGAUAAAGUUUAAAUGUCUUAUAACUGAGAUAGUAACGAUACAGGAUAUUGCUAUGUAAUAAUUACGUAUCCUCUAAAGGCUUUCCCAUUAUGCUGCCGUAUGCUGCGAUUACACAAAGACAUUGAGAAUCAUAUCCUCCAAUGAUAUACAAAAGAUAAUCAUUCAAGUUUUGCAAUCAGUGUGUGUUUGUUUUUACAAUGCCUAAAGAAUAUAUUUUCUGAGCAGCUGCCAUGUUUUUUUUUUCAAUGGAAGUAAAUACUGGUUCAGGAGAACCAGCUAGUUUUGCGUUUAGUGUUAAAUAUAAUAUUUUCUCGCACCGAAAAAUUUAAAGUUACCAAUAGUUCCUGUCUUAACGCAUUGCAGCUGACCUUGCAACCUCGCUUGAAACCUUGGACAAAAUUGAUUUGAUUAUUUAAUGCAUGAUUGUUCAUCGUCAAUGUGGAUUUCUAUCUGCACUCGGCUUUACGGAUGCGGAUUCCCGGAUGCCCGGAUGAAUUUUUGUCUCAUCGCCAAUCCAAUCGCUAUGGAUUCAUCAUUACACCAUACACGAAGAGCUAAAUAGUUAAAUCUAAUAAACUUCAUAAUACCAAUACACACAAAAAAAAAUCGUUGGUAAAAUUAAA
Long non-coding RNA from Armigeres subalbatus, 788 nucleotides. RefSeq lists it as uncharacterized. NCBI's taxonomy places the organism in Eukaryota, Metazoa, Arthropoda, Insecta, Diptera, Culicidae. The record is from RefSeq and is a predicted model, not a curated record. The transcript has 3 exons.